RNAcentral lists this ribosomal RNA (412 nucleotides) under uncultured bacterium. RNAcentral describes it as "bacterial SSU rRNA". It matches the Rfam family "Bacterial small subunit ribosomal RNA", at positions 8 to 422 of the family's 1533-position model. The record is from RNAcentral.
AGAGUUUGAUCCUGGCUCAGAUUGAACGCUGGCGGAAUGCUUUACACAUGCAAGUCGAGCGGCAGCGCGGGGGCAACCUUGGCGGCGAGCGGCGAACGGGUGAGUAACAUAUCGGAACGUACCCAGUAAUGGGGGAUAACCAACCGAAAGGUUGGCUAAUACCGCAUACGCCCUGAGGGGGAAAGUGGGGGAUCGCAAGACCUCACGUUAUUGGAGCGGCCGAUAUCGGAUUAGCUAGUUGGUGGGGUAAAGGCUCACCAAGGCGACGAUCCGUAGCGGGUCUGAGAGGACGGCCCGCCACACUGGAACUGAGACACGGUCCAGACUCCUACGGGAGGCAGCAGUGGGGAAUUUUGGACAAUGGGCGCAAGCCUGAUCCAGCCAUUCCGCGUGAGUGAAGAAGGCCUUCGGG